RNAcentral lists this ribosomal RNA (396 nucleotides) under uncultured bacterium. RNAcentral's name for it is "partial 16S ribosomal RNA". It matches the Rfam family "Bacterial small subunit ribosomal RNA", at positions 523 to 918 of the family's 1533-position model. The record is from RNAcentral.
AUACGUAGGGAGCGAGCGUUGUCCGGAAUUACUGGGUGUAAAGGGUGCGUAGGCGGGACGGCAAGUCAGAUGUGAAAUACCGGGGCUCAACCCCGGGGCUGCAUUUGAAACUGUCGUUCUUGAGUGAGGUAGAGGGAAGCGGAAUUCCUAGUGUAGCGGUGAAAUGCGUAGAUAUUAGGAGGAACAUCGGUGGCGAAGGCGGCUUACUGGGCCUUUACUGACGCUGAGGCACGAAAGCGUGGGGAGCAAACAGGAUUAGAUACCCUGGUAGUCCACGCUGUAAACGAUGAUGACUAGGUGUGGGGGGACUGAACCCUUCCGUGCCGCAGUUAACACAAUAAGUCAUCCACCUGGGGAGUACGGCCGCAAGGUUGAAACUCAAAUGAAUUGACGGGG